CGGAAUCUGCCUAUUUGUGGGGGAUAACGUAGGGAAACUUACGCUAAUACCGCAUACGACCUACGGGUGAAAGCGGAGGACCUUCGGGCUUCGCGCAGAUUGAUGAGCCGAUGUCGGAUUAGCUAGUUGGCGGGGUAAAGGCCCACCAAGGCGACGAUCCGUAGCUGGUCUGAGAGGAUGAUCAGCCACACUGGAACUGAGACACGGUCCAGACUCCUACGGGAGGCAGCAGUGGGGAAUAUUGGACAAUGGGCGCAAGCCUGAUCCAGCCAUGCCGCGUGGGUGAAGAAGGCCUUCGGGUUGUAAAGCCCUUUUGUUGGGAAAGAAAAGCAGUCGGUUAAUACCCGAUUGUUCUGACGGUACCCAAAGAAUAAGCACCGGCUAACUUCGUGCCAGCAGCCGCGGUAAUACGAAGGGUGCAAGCGUUACUCGGAAUUACUGGGCGUAAAGCGUGCGUAGGUGGUUUGUUAAGUCUGAUGUGAAAGCCCUGGGCUCAACCUGGGAAUUGCAUUGGAUACUGGCAGGCUAGAGUGCGGUAGAGGGUAGUGGAAUUCCCGGU
This 559-nucleotide ribosomal RNA is filed under the name uncultured bacterium. Its description in RNAcentral is "bacterial SSU rRNA". It matches the Rfam family "Bacterial small subunit ribosomal RNA", at positions 119 to 674 of the family's 1533-position model. The record is from RNAcentral.